Long non-coding RNA from Branchiostoma floridae (Florida lancelet), 893 nucleotides. RefSeq lists it as uncharacterized. The record is from RefSeq and is a predicted model, not a curated record. Lineage: Eukaryota; Metazoa; Chordata; Leptocardii; Amphioxiformes; Branchiostomatidae. The transcript is spliced from 3 exons.
CUUUGACCCCUGAGGGUAUUGUGGAAUGAUAAUGUUAUGCAGAUGAGCUGGGGCUAUCUCCUGCCAGCUCCAAUCACACCAGUACAGUGUACAUAUCGCAAACCGCUGUCAAAGGAUCACUUAAUCAGUAGACCCUGAAAAUUCUACUAGGCCCAAUCCAACUCAGCGUACUGUAAUCACAUUUCCAACCAUGACAACCAGGCAUCUAAAUCAGGAGCCUGACCUGAGUUCAUGUACAGGCUGAACGGAAAUUGCCAAAGGGACUUGGAAACAAACCUCUGAAGACUACCACAUUCCAGGUGGACAAAGGGCCGACUCUCGCAGCGAAGCAAAGGCCUCGAUCCCAUGGAGAUUGGAGUGGAUGAUCUGUUGGUCCUGGGAGGCAGAACGGAGAAAAAACAUGAGUAUUCUGUAAUUACCUGGAAAGCCUUUCUUAGUGUCCCGUUAAGGGCUCUAGCCAGUGCAUUUUUAGCAUAACGGGCCAGCACAAUAUAAUUUGCAACCACAACACUGAGGGUGAGGACCACUAUGCUAAAUUUCAACUAGCGUAGUGGUACUUUUGCUACUAUUUACUAGCAAAACAAUAUUAUAGUACAUACAUGUAUGAUGAAAUAUGAAAAUUGUUGAUAUGACACUGCAAACCAAAAAAAUCCUUCAAAUUACAUGUCAACUCAAGGGUACCCUAAAAUGCCAACUUUCUAACAUUUUCAAAAUCUCCACGCUAUCACCCCGAUUGGUCACGAAGGCUUUGCUACCUCGCCAUUGCCGUUACGCUCAAAUAAAAUCCUGGCUAGAGCCCUGGCGUUACUCAAGCCAAUCAACAUUGACUUUGGAAGUCAUCACAAGUGCAUCAAGUCUAAACCCUCAAGAAUAAAAGAACAUGAUGAAUGCGA